Long non-coding RNA from Bombus terrestris (buff-tailed bumblebee), 1653 nucleotides. RefSeq lists it as uncharacterized. Lineage: Eukaryota; Metazoa; Arthropoda; Insecta; Hymenoptera; Apidae. The record is from RefSeq and is a predicted model, not a curated record. The transcript has 4 exons.
CACAGGGACGAGGCGUACGUUUGUCUUUUUCCAGUUGAAAAUCAAUAUUAUUUUAAAAUGUAUAAAAACUGUAUAUAUUAUAUACAGUAGUUUUCGAUACGAAGAUAUCACAUAUUUAAAUUAUAAUGCAAGGGACUACAAGUUCCGUCUUCCGCUACUGCAUGGUGCUUCAUGGCUCGUCGUGGGUGGCUACCGUGAUGUCCUAAUCCCACCAAGUCCCUAGAGGGUACUCUAGGAUCGUAUAGUUCUUAGUGAGAAAACAGAAAGCGGACGGAUUUGCGGAGACAAAGCGCGAAUGAAAAACAUGCGCACAGAAAGCUACGCGAGAACAAAAGGGUAAACGAAGACAAAGACUAAAACGUAGAAAUAAAAACGACGUGAGGAAAAACGACAUUUUUUCAUAUAGAAUUCUCUCAAAAUUUGAAAAUAGCUUAAAAUUGAGAAAUUAAUCCAAAGGAGAAACAAACACGAAUCUAACAAACUAAAACUACCCUAAUAAGCUACCUCUCUUUUCAAAUAGAAUUAUCAUACACAAGUAUAUGUUUCAGGACCCGAAAGAAAAAGGAAAAUAAAAUAGAGCGACAAAGUACAUAUGUUCCUCGGUUUCCAUCGCCUCUUUUUUAGACGAGCUCACGAGCAUUGUGUUCGAUAAAUUUAACGCGCGCACUAAACUCGAAAGCGCCUAUUGACAUCAAGAAAUUUGCAGGAACGAAGGGUCUCUAUGUUAACGGGACGAGAAUGGUCGAAAUAUGUAUGUGUAUAUAUGUAUAUAGACAUAGUAUAAUAAUAUGUACAAAUUAUGUAUAUAUAUGGUAUGUGUGUAUGUGUACGUAUCAAAGUAGAAAGGGAUAUAGAGAAAAAAUGAGAGGAGACUGCGAGAAAGAGGGAGGCAGAAAAAGAAGGCGACAGAAAAAGAUAAAAAUGUGGAUAGGGCAGGGAGAAAUGCAGAGAUCGGAUAGAGAUCGAGCGAACAGAGAAACAGGAAAAAGGGGAUGGCAAGGGAGACAGAGAACAUGAGAGGGAGAGAAGGAAGAGUGAGUAGAGAACUCUGAGCGCCGCAGCGCUACGGGGUGGUUGCCCUCGUCUGCGCUUUGUGGGAAAUGCCCGCUCAAUAACGCGUAGGUCCUCGUCUGCCCCUUCUCACCCUCGGAGGCAUCGCAGCAAGGGCCACUGCCCCAAAAGGCACGGCCACCCAUCGAAUAACCCUUAUCCUAUCUCUCCCUCCUACCCAUAAGACAGUUCUUCGAUUUUCUUCCUCCUUCUUCUAUUCUUUUUCCUCUUCCUUCGACCGUCUCAUACGUUGAAAAAGAUCGAAUCCUCGUCUUUGCACACAGACCUCGUGUACAGUCGCCGAAAAGACAAGAGGAACUGACAAAUAUCACUGCACCGAUUAAUCUUGCGGUCUGAUUUGCGAUUUCUAGAUAGGAAGGUCGACUUCUACCGAAUUGAAGAUCAUAAAGCAUAUUUUCAUACUUUCUCUAUAUUAUUACUGAUAUUACUAUUAUCAAUAAAAUAUAAAUAAUAUAAUUUAAUUACAAUUAAAUAGUUGUAUUCUGUAUGUCCUUAUAUCUAACACAACAAGGGCGGAUUUGUCAUCGAGGAAUUUGGGAAAUUCCCGGUGGGCCGGUAGGGAUUUGGGGCCGCUCUCUGCAG